This 440-nucleotide ribosomal RNA is filed under the name uncultured bacterium. Its description in RNAcentral is "partial 16S ribosomal RNA". It matches the Rfam family "Bacterial small subunit ribosomal RNA", at positions 338 to 795 of the family's 1533-position model. The record is from RNAcentral.
CCUACGGGCGGCAGCAGUAGGGAAUAUUGCUCAAUGGGGGAAACCCUGAAGCAGCAACGCCGCGUGGAGGAUGAAGGUUUUAUGAUUGUAAACUCCUUUUGUUAGAGAAGUUUAUGACGGUAUCUAACGAAUAAGCACCGGCUAACUCCGUGCCAGCAGGCGCGGGAAUACGGAGGGUGCAAGCGUUAUUCGGAAUCACUGGGCGUAAAGAGUGCGUAGGCGGGGUAAUAGGUCAGAUGUGAAAUCCUGUGGCUUAACUACAGAACUGCAUUUGAAACUGUUACUCUGGAGUGUGGGAGAGGUAGGUGGAAUUCUUGGUGUAGGGGUAAAAUCCGUAGAGAUCAAGAGGAAUACUCAUUGCGAAGGCGACCUGCUGGAACAUUAUUGACGCUGAUGCACGAAAGCGUGGGGAGCAAACAGGAUUAGAUACCCUGGUAGUC